GCUCCACAUACUCCAGUGCAGUCACACUACUCCUCUGCAUAAUGCACAGAUGUGGAACAAAUAAUAGGACCCUUUUUUGUUCCCAGGGCUAAAGUCCAUGUUGUCCAAAACAGCAGAAGUCUCAGUUUUGUGAAUAAGAGUCAUUGGACUUCUAUCUACCCACUUGAGGAGUUUCUUAAGAAUCCCUUUAAAAUCAGAAGUUUUGGAGUGUGUCAUUACUGCAUUUGUACCACUGAAGGUGAGGAAGAAGGAGUCAUUAUGGAUCUUACUGAACCUGAGUGAAUGUGGUGUAGUUUUAGCACUGGAAAAUAAAAAAAUAAGAAGAAGAAGAAGAAGAAAAAGAAGAAGAAGAAUUCAAUUGCUGUUGCCAGAAAUUCAGAAGUAUGCAACUGUUACCAGUGAAGUAACUGAAUGGGCCACAUGAUACACCAUUUUGACUGGAAUGAAACUCUGAUCACUUUGCAGUAAUAAGGAAGUAAAUUUCUUCAUCUCUCUUUCUCCUGAAGACAUUUUGGUAGAAAGAAGGUCACAUAAUUCCUUGUAUUUUGUUAACUGCCAACUCCCAGAUCCACAGGACCAAAGCCAGGCAUCAGUGCAGUCAUUACAAAUGGUUGACACUGACAGAGCAAUGUGUUUCGUUGAUCCAGCAUAGACUUCUUUUGGACAGCGUUUUAUCAUUACUUUAUUUAUUUAUUUAUUUAUUUAUUUAUUUAUUUAUUUAUUUAUUUAUUUAUUUAUUUUGUGCCGCAGUCCUUGGGCAAAAGGAUUAACGAGCCACA
RNAcentral lists this long non-coding RNA (779 nucleotides) under Phasianus colchicus (ring-necked pheasant). RNAcentral's name for it is "lncRNA (ENSPCLG00000016422.1)". The record is from RNAcentral. Lineage: Eukaryota; Metazoa; Chordata; Aves; Galliformes; Phasianidae.